GAUGAACGCUGGCGGCGUGCCUAAUACAUGCAAGUCGAGCGAAUGGAUUAAGAGCUUGCUCUUAUGAAGUUAGCGGCGGACGGGUGAGUAACACGUGGGUAACCUGCCCAUAAGACUGGGAUAACUCCGGGAAACCGGGGCUAAUACCGGAUAACAUUUUGAACCGCAUGGUUCGAAAUUGAAAGGCGGCUUCGGCUGUCACUUAUGGAUGGACCCGCGUCGCAUUAGCUAGUUGGUGAGGUAACGGCUCACCAAGGCAACGAUGCGUAGCCGACCGGAGAGGGUGAUCGGCCACACUGGGACGGAGACACGGCCCAGACUCCUACGGGAGGCAGCAGUAGGGAAUCUUCCGCAAUGGAUGAAAGUCUGACGGAGCAACGCCGAGUGGGUGAUGAAGGCUUUCGGGUCGUAAAACUCUGUUGCUAGGGAAGAACAAGUGCUAGUUGAAUAAGCUGGCACCUUGACGGUACCUAACCAGAAAGCCACGGCUAACUACGUGCCAGCAGCCGCCGUAA
Molecule: ribosomal RNA, 515 nt
Filed under: uncultured bacterium
Lineage: Bacteria
Description: partial 16S ribosomal RNA
Rfam family: Bacterial small subunit ribosomal RNA
Source: RNAcentral